CAGCGGCAGCCUUCUACCUCGACAUCCACGUCUAAACAGAAGAACCAAGCCAACAACAACAUGUACGCAGUUUGACUUAACAGACGACGAGAACGUGUGGCCCCUUGUUUCAUCGUUGCCAUCAGCGUUCUAUCGAGUGACCAUGGAUCAAAUUGUCGUCCAGAGGUGCCUGGCGUCGAGAACACUUGCUAGUGCACAAAGGACUGUGCUCACAGGGUCCGUCCUGCUUGUAGCGGCAUAUACCGUCGAACUCCUGAUGGCAUUGUCCUUGGUACUCUGGUUUCGAGGUUGCGACUCCCAGCUGUCAGGAGCUAUCAAGAAUACUGAUCAGGCAAGGACGCAGUAUCGUCAUAUG
This is a non-coding RNA of Dermacentor albipictus, 355 nucleotides long. The record is from RefSeq and is a predicted model, not a curated record. NCBI's taxonomy places the organism in Eukaryota, Metazoa, Arthropoda, Arachnida, Ixodida, Ixodidae.